GGCUCAGAUUGAACGCUGGCGGCAUGCCUUACACAUGCAAGUCGAACGGCAGCACGGGGCAACCUGGUGGCGAGUGGCGAACGGGUGAGUAAUGCAUCGUAACGUGCCAUUGAGUGGGGGAUAACGUAGCGAAAGUUGCGCUAAUACCGCAUAUUCUGUGAGCAGGAAAGCAGGGGACCGCAAGGCCUUGCGCUCUUUGAGCGGCCGAUGUCAGAUUAGCUAGUUGGUGAGGUAACGGCUUACCAAGGCGACGAUCUGUAGCGGGUCUGAGAGGAUGAUCCGCCACACUGGAACUGAGACACGGUCCAGACUCCUACGGGAGGCAGCAGUGGGGAAUUUUGGACAAUGGGCGCAAGCCUGAUCCAGCCAUGCCGCGUGAGUGAAGAAGGCCUUCGGGUUGUAAAGCUCUUUCGGCCGGGAAGAAAUCGCAUGGGUUAAUACCCUGUGUGGAUGACGGUACCGGAAUAAGAAGCACCGGCUAACUACGUG
RNAcentral lists this ribosomal RNA (489 nucleotides) under uncultured bacterium. RNAcentral's name for it is "bacterial SSU rRNA". It matches the Rfam family "Bacterial small subunit ribosomal RNA", at positions 21 to 507 of the family's 1533-position model. The record is from RNAcentral.